Molecule: regulatory RNA element, 256 nt
Rfam family: T-box leader
About the family: Uncharged tRNA acts as the effector for transcription antitermination of genes in the T-box leader family. T-boxes are found upstream of many aminoacyl-tRNA synthetase genes and some amino acid biosynthetic genes usually in Gram-positive bacteria.
Source: Rfam
UUAAAGACUUUGAAAGGAAGAGUAGUUAUAGAAUGUAAUUAAAGCGAGUUGGUGAUGGUGUGAGACCAAUAUGAAGUCUAUAGUGAAGAACAUCCUGGAGUUGCUAACCGAAAUUUUAAAAGAGUAGGCUUAGUCGGAACCAAACCGUUAUCAUAUUGGGGUGUAUCGAGUAAUAUCUGUACAUUGUGAGCUGGGUUUGAAUUUAUUUCAAACUAAUCAGGGUGGUACCGCGGAAAAGCAACCUUUCGUCCCUUUU